Long non-coding RNA from Xenopus laevis (African clawed frog), 1034 nucleotides. RefSeq lists it as uncharacterized. The record is from RefSeq and is a predicted model, not a curated record. NCBI's taxonomy places the organism in Eukaryota, Metazoa, Chordata, Amphibia, Anura, Pipidae. The transcript is spliced from 4 exons.
UGUAUUGUCUGGGAACGAGCUGGCUCCUCCCCCUUCUGCUGCUCUGCUGUGGAGAUAGUGCUGGUGCCAACUUCUGUCUCCUGGUGAUAAGACAGGGCAGACAAGAAAACUGAAGCUACUUCAUGUUUGGUUCUUUCAAGGUGUGCAGGAGAUGCAAACAAUGUGAAAACCCAGGCAGUCCCUCGCAUAAGGAAGAAUGGAGCAGUAGUGAUUGUGCUGCUGGUGAAGGGCUCGAUGAGUUCUAGAUCACAUGGAUCAUUGGACAAAGGCUAUAGUGAAAAACCACCUGAAGUGACGGUGCCUGAUGUGUUUCACUACCAAUAAGCUUCCUUAGGGCCCAGGAGGAACCUGAAUGGCAAUGAAAGGACAACACAUCUGGUUGUGGGUGCUAGUGGAGACAGAAGAAGAAAAAAAUGCCAGCAAUUUUGAUCCUUAAAGUAAUGGGACACUGUUUACUACAUAAUCCCAGAAAGUGUCUGUUUCAAAAGUAUUUAAUGUAAGUGCAAUACUUUAAUUAUUUAAGCAAUACAUGGUUUUACAAUAUGGUCGCUGCCCCUGUCUUUGCUGCUAGAUUACUGCUUGGGAGAUCUGGAAAUUUGUGUACAUGUAAAUGUAAAUUAUAAAAACCAGUGGUUUGUAAGUAGGCAUUCUGCUCACAUAAGGAUUGGUGGAAUCAUCCUAAUACCACUAUCCUUUUAAUCUGAAAACUAUACUACGUGACAACUGGCUUUGAAUAGUUUAAAGGGCAACACCACUUUGAAUGAAAGAUUUUUUUCAAAUUAAUCAAUUUCGACAUUUAAGUGGAGCUUUUAAAGUACUACACUAUACAAUUUGCCUAUUGUUGUUUAUCUAUCCUCAGCCUUUGGUGCUGAUCAUUUGGAUUAUUUGGUUUUUGUUUGGGGGACUGUAAGAAGAUUGUCAAGAAAAGAAAAGUUUUUACAGUCUCUUAAUUAUUAUUGUUCUUUGCCUUUGUGGACACACACAUUUUAUCAUGUAGUAAAGUUUACCUGUAAUAAAGAUGCUCCGGUACUAAA